GGACGUGAAGGGACAGCAACAUCGAAGAUUUUAAAUGUGGACACACAGAUGCAAUUAGAUCACUUCAUAGAUUUCACUGGUGCUAAGCAUCAGCAGUUCCCGUUGAUGGAGUUCCAGAAAAAGACAAAGAUGCCAAACAACUUGAGAGCAGCAGUGCCUGGCUGUGAGGCAGAAGCACCACCCCAGUUAAGCAGCAGAAAUGGAAGACUUCUGGCAGUUUAUUACCAGUCACAGCUCUGCAGAACUCCAACUAAUACUUUGAAGAACAGCAGCAAUCCUGGAACCAGAGUUUCAAAAUAAAUGUGCAUGAAAAUCUGAAGGUCAUCUGCUUCCCCCCAUUGCUUGGC
Long non-coding RNA from Melopsittacus undulatus (budgerigar), 347 nucleotides. RefSeq lists it as uncharacterized. NCBI's taxonomy places the organism in Eukaryota, Metazoa, Chordata, Aves, Psittaciformes, Psittaculidae. The transcript has 3 exons. The record is from RefSeq and is a predicted model, not a curated record.